Molecule: ribosomal RNA, 467 nt
Filed under: uncultured bacterium
Lineage: Bacteria
Description: partial 16S ribosomal RNA
Rfam family: Bacterial small subunit ribosomal RNA
Source: RNAcentral
ACGAACGCUGGCGGCGUGCUUCACACAUGCCAGUCGAACGGUGAUGCUCCAGCUUGCUGGAGUGGAUCAGUGGCGAACGGGUGAGUAACACGUGAGCAACCUGCCCCAGACUCUGGAAUAAGCGCUGGAAACGGCGUCUAAUACUGGAUACGAAACUGGCCCGCAUGGGCAUGGUUUGGAAAGUUUUUCGGUUUGGGAUGGGCUCGCGGCCUAUCAGCUUGUUGGUGAGGUAAUGGCUCACCAAGGCGACGACGGGUAGCCGGCCUGAGAGGGCGACCGGCCACACUGGGACUGAGACACGGCCCAGACUCCUACGGGAGGCAGCAGUGGGGAAUAUUGCACAAUGGGCGAAAGCCUGAUGCAGCGACGCCGCGUGAGGGAUGACGGCCUUCGGGUUGUAAACCUCUUUCAGCAGGGAAGAAGCGAAAGUGACGGUACCUGCAGAAGAAGCACCGGCUAACUACGUG